RNAcentral lists this long non-coding RNA (275 nucleotides) under Heterocephalus glaber (naked mole-rat). Its description in RNAcentral is "lncRNA (ENSHGLG00100033339.1)". Lineage: Eukaryota; Metazoa; Chordata; Mammalia; Rodentia; Bathyergidae. The record is from RNAcentral.
CAGAACCUCAGUUCUAGAGCCGGCUCUGCAGGCAGUGGAACGAGCACAAAGCCUAGUGGCCGCCUCUGGCCUCCCGGUCCUGUCUGUAAAGCGGGGGUCCGGGGACUGGUGGGCCUGAGGGGUCUGCUCGGGUCACCCCGUGGGCUCCUCCCCUGGGGCGCAGGCCCGGGCGAGUGGCGCUGCCCUUCCUCGUGGGAAUCCUGCGGGCACCUGCGGCGACGGCUCCAACCGGGAAAGAACAGCGCGUCCCCGCCCCCCGCGCGCUAUGCAUCUCC